GUUUGAGGAGUGCAUUAAAGAUUGUGACACUGCUGUUGAAAGGGGAAGAGAACUCAGAUCAGACUUCAAGAUGGUUGCAAAGGCUUUGACAAGGAAAGGAACUGCCUUGGUGAAAAUGGCUAAAUGCUCCAAGGACUACGAACCUGCUAUUGAGACAUUUCAGAAAGCUUUGACAGAGCAUCGUAACCCAGAUACUCUAAAAAAACUUAAUGAUGCUGAGAAAGCAAAGAAAGAUCUAGAGCAACAGGAGUACUUUGAUCCGAAAAUAGCAGACGAGGAGCGUGAGAAAGGUACUAUUAUAUUUCUGUUUACCGUGGGGUUACUCACAGUAUACUACUUUUAAUUAUGAUCUGUUGCAUGUGGUUAACGGAUUACAUGUUUUACCAGGCAACGAAUUUUUCAAACAGCAGAAGUAUCCUGAAGCAAUUAAGCAGUACACAGAAUCACUGAGAAGAAAUCCAAAGGAUCACAAGGUUUGUCAUAACGAAUUCCAUUAUUACUCUUGUUCAUGAGUUAUGGAGUAUGUGAAAUAAUUUUGAUGUAUGUUUGACCCCAACAUGUUACUGAUUUGUGCAGGCUUACAGUAACAGAGCAGCUUGCUAUACAAAACUUGGCGCACUGCCUGAGGGAUUGAAGGAUGCAGAAAAGUGUAUUGAGCUUGAUCCCACAUUUGCCAAGGGAUAUACCAGAAAAGGUGCUGCACAGUUUCUCAUGAAAGAUUAUGAUAAAGCUUUGGAAACAUAUCAAGCAGGGUUGAAACACGAUCCACACAACCAAGAAUUGUUGGAUGGUGUUAAGAGGUAUAUUAUCGUAUUUGGCUAUUGAUGAAAGUGCAUCAUCAUUUUUUAACUGUAUUGAACAUUUACUGAUUGCUGCAUCAAUUGUUUCCCAGGUGUGUCGCUCAAAUUAAUAAGGCCAGCCGCGGUGAUUUAACUCCUGAGGAAUUGAAGGAGCGGCAGGUAUAUGCCUAAUUUUGUUAUGUUACACAGAUUGUGCAUGUCUGUUUUUUAUAAAUUAGGAAUCUCAUGUCAAUAUUUAAAAAUUGGGUUAAUAAUCAAGUGAGUCACCAAAUUGGGCUUGAUAUAUCAAGUUGGUCACCGAACUCAAAACGGUCUCAAAUUGGUCACUCAAGUUAGUUAUAUGUAUCUGUAAAUAUGAAUUCAAAGAGUAAAGAUAUUAUUUAUAGAGGUUUAAAUAUUAUUUUUGAAUGUUACCACAACUAAAUACAAGAUUAUGACUUCUCGUAUUUAUGAAAAUAUAUUUAGAUUUUAUCAAGUUUAUUUACUAUUUAUUUUUUAUUAUAUAGUUAUUUUCUUUAUUUUAAUUAUAAAUAUAUAAUAAAUAAACUUGAUAAAUCUGAAUAUAUUACCAUAAAUAUCAGAAGUCAUGAUCUUAUACUUAGUUCUGGUAACAUUCAAAAAUAAUAUGUAAACCUCUAUAAAUAAUAUAUUUACCCCUUCAACUUAUAUUUACAGAUACAUAUAACUUGACUUGAGUGAUCAAUUUGACACCGUUUUGAGUUCAGUGACCAACUUGAUAUUUUGAGCCCACUCUAUAAUAAAAAAAUUAAAAAAUAAUAGAGCUCGAGCUCGGCUCGAUAAAACAUCCAAAUAGCUCGACCUUUUUCUACAAUACGAUCACCCCAUAGGUUUAAAAAGACUGGUUUAGAUAGCAGUGCAAUACUUUUUCUUUAUGAAACCUUUGCACUCUUCUGAGAAUAUGAGAACUGACUUGGAAUUGUAACAUGCAAAGGUGUUUGUAGUAAGCAAAUAGGACAUGAAAUUGCAACUCGUAAGUGAUAAAAGUUUUUUUUUUUUUUUAAACACGUAAGUGAUAAAAGUUGAUUAUAUGCGAGAUGCAUCUUCCAUAUUUCCCGCCUAAAAUUUUCUCUUGUCAGGAUUUGCCCACUUAAAUUUUAGCAUAGAGAACCUAUUUUACAAAAUUUAAGCGAACAUUUUUAUUUUUUUCAGAAAAGAAGCUAAUCCAAUAUAUUUCUCUUAACCAUGGUUUUUUGUUAAUGAUCUUAACGCCGAUUUUUUUUCAUUAUUACAUUAAAAAUUAGAUUAAAAUUUUAUAAUAUAAAAUAAUAUCUAAACAUAAAGAAUUCAAUAUACAAAAUUUGUUGAUUAUUAAUCGAACGAGAGCUUCCACAAUACUUACCAAUAAAUCCAUCUUAUUUCCAAAUUUCGAUACUAUUUAAGUAAUCCAAUCAUGUAAAUUUUAAUAUAUUUUAUAUGAGAUCAAUACUUAUAUCUUAUUGAUAUAAUACUACAUAUGAAUUCCUGUUGAAUUUAAAACUAAAUUUUACUAUUAUCACAAUUUAUAAUUUUCUUAUAAUUUCAACUACAUAUAGAUUUGUUAUUUCUUCAUAUUAAUAUUUUCAUUAUUAAGCGCAUUCAUCGUUAGAAAAUUUAAUUUUAAUAUUAUAUCAAUAUAAUUUUUGUAUAUAAAUAACCUUACAAACUUAUCACUGUGCUUUCUCUCCCUAGAACAUUCUUCUCUCUAUUCUCUUUGUUUAGUAGUUUUACCUUUUCCAAUUUGAAUUCUAAUUCCAAAAUCUAAACACAACUAGAACAUUCCAGAAAUAAAACCCUCUAGCCCCUCAGUCCCUCACUAUAAAAACACUUAUCUUCAUCUUCCCCACGAAAUCAAUUAAAAUCCAAAUAAUAAACCACGCUCGGCAACAAUUUUACUGAUUAAUCAUCGAUGGCUGAUGAAGCUAAAGCCAAAGGCAACGCCGCUUUCGCCGCCGGCAACUAUUCUGACGCGAUCAAGCACUUCUCCGACGCGAUCACCUUGUCUCCGGCCAAUCAUGUUCUCUACUCCAACCGAUCGGCUGCUUACGCUUCGAUUAACAAUUUCUCCGAAGCUUUAGUGGAUGCGAAAAAAACGGUGGAGAUCAAACCGGACUGGGCUAAGGGAUACUCUCGGCUCGGCUCGGCUCAUCUCGGACUCCACAAUUAUGUCGAAGCUAUCGAGGCGUACAAGAAAGGUCUUGAAUUGGAUCCGAAUAAUGAGGCUUUGAAAUCCGGGUUAUCCGACGCGGAGACCCGGGUUAGGACCCGACCCGGUUUUGGCAAUCCGACCCGGCCCGGGGCGAGUCCGUUCGGGGACGCGUUCGGGCCGGAGAUGUGGGCGAAAUUGACGGCGGAUCCGACGACGAGAGCGUUCCUCCAGCAGCCUGAUUUCGUGAACAUGAUGAAAGAGCUUCAGAAGAACCCGAGCAAUUUGAAUUUGUACUUGAAGGAUCCCAGGGUUAUGCAAGCGCUAGGAGUUUUGCUUAAUAUCAAGCUUUCGACACGAGGAAGUGAUGAUAAGGGUGUAGAGAUGUAUGACGUAUCCUCGGAGAGGAAGAGGCCUGCGGAGGAGGAACCGGUGAAUGUGAAGGAGAAGAAGCGCGAGGCGGAGCCAAUGCAGGAGGAGGUGGAGGUUUCAGAGGAGGAGAGGGAGAAAAAGGAGAGGAAGGAGAAGGCGCGGAAGGCGAAAGAGGAGGGUAAUGUGGCGUAUAAGAAGAAGGAUUUCGAGACGGCGAUUAGGUGUUAUAGUGAGGCGAUUGAGUUGGAUGAUGAGGAUAUUUCGUUUGUUACUAAUAGGGCUGCGGUUUAUCUGGAGAUGGGGAAGGUAUGUUGCUAAUGCUUCAAUCUUUAUUUAUACAUUAUGUAUUAAAAAUUGUACAGCAUGUUUUUGUUGAAUGUGUUUUGGUGCUAUCCUUUACUUGAUAUUGAGAUAAUUCAAGUUAAUAUAAGUUCCACAGGUUAAUUUGAUGUUUAUUUUGCGAUUGUGAUGCCUGUUGUCUUUAGCGUAGGAUUAUUUUCUCUUCUGUUGUGUUCAUGUAUGCAGAGGUGUAAUUUAGGAUAAUGGUAAAAGUAGCUGAAUUUUAAAAGGUUAGGAAUGUUGGGGAAGAAUUAUAAUUUAGCAUGACUUUUACAGGGACCAUCCUGAUAUACAAGUUUUUCUUUGUAGCUAGAUUACGACAUAACAUAUGAGUAGGUCAUUUGCAAAAGAAGUUGAUGCUUUUGAUCGCUUUACUACAUAAUGAAAAUUUUGGAUCCAAUUCUUUUGUCUUAUAUAUAUGAUUAAGUUGUGCAUUUUAUUUUUGUUUGAUUAUUGUCUACUAUUAUAUUAUAUAUAUAUUUAUAUGCUAUAUAUCUUAUUUUUCAAUAUGACAUAUUCAUUUAUGUGCUGAUAUUAGAGCAUAUAUUUCACUUUACAAUUAAGAUCUGUAUCUAACUAGUUGGUAACUAAUGCCACCAGUUUGAGGAGUGCAUUAAAGAUUGUGACACUGCUGUUGAAAGGGGAAGAGAACUCAGAUCAGACUUCAAGAUGGUUGCAAAGGCUUUGACAAGGAAAGGAACUGCCUUGGUGAAAAUGGCUAAAUGCUCCAAGGACUACGAACCUGCUAUUGAGACAUUUCAGAAAGCUUUGACAGAGCAUCGUAACCCAGAUACUCUAAAAAAACUUAAUGAUGCUGAGAAAGCAAAGAAAGAUCUAGAGCAACAGGAGUACUUUGAUCCGAAAAUAGCAGACGAGGAGCGUGAGAAAGG
Molecule: long non-coding RNA, 4544 nt
Filed under: Daucus carota (carrot)
Lineage: Eukaryota; Viridiplantae; Streptophyta; Magnoliopsida; Apiales; Apiaceae
Description: long non-coding RNA (DCAR_LNC001600)
Source: RNAcentral